RNAcentral lists this ribosomal RNA (22 nucleotides) under Caladenia major. RNAcentral describes it as "Glossodia major partial 26S ribosomal RNA". The record is from RNAcentral. Lineage: Eukaryota; Viridiplantae; Streptophyta; Magnoliopsida; Asparagales; Orchidaceae.
GCGACCCCAGGAUGGGUGGGAU